Molecule: transfer RNA, 73 nt
Filed under: Rhipicephalus sanguineus (brown dog tick)
Lineage: Eukaryota; Metazoa; Arthropoda; Arachnida; Ixodida; Ixodidae
Description: transfer RNA alanine (anticodon AGC)
Rfam family: tRNA
About the family: Transfer RNA (tRNA) molecules are approximately 80 nucleotides in length.
Source: Rfam by way of RNAcentral
GGGGGUGUAGCUCAGAUGGUAGAGCGCUCGCUUAGCAUGCGAGAGGUACUGGUAUCGAUACCCAGCACCUCCA